AAGGUGAAAAGUCAGUAGCAAACUAUUUUGGAAACCAGAGAAAAAAAUACUUCGGAAAGAAAAUACAAUCAAUAUUUUCAAAUGCCAUAAAACAGUUUUCUGAUGAAGCUGAGGUCCACUGAUCUAUAUUUAUCCCGAACAAAUGGUUUUAUCUGGGAUCCCUCAUCUGCAAAUCAGUAACAGUGGGGAGCUGGAUUGAUUCAGACUUUAAGUGUGCAAUCUGGAAGGUCACUUAAAGAUGAUAUGGCAUCAUGAACUGCAUCUCUAAGACACCGCUUAGAGGAAACACACUCUACAAUGGUACCCAAGCAUCUGCCUUCCCAGGAAUAUCUGGACUGGAUUAAUUUGUGGGCAAGAAGGAACUUUUAUUUGUUAAGCUCCUGAGAUUGUGAUUUUGUUUACCAUAGCUGCUAGCAUCAGUUAUUUCAUUCAGAGAUGGAACAUGAAAAUAAAUAAGGCCCUACACUUGAGGAGUUCAAAGUUUAGGUAGGCAAUUGGGUUUAAAGAAUAAAAAAAGUUUUAAGGUUUCCUGUUUCUAAACUCUAAUUUACCAUUCUAAUAACCUGGGUCUCGAAAUUGAAGAAGCCACAAUCAGUAACAUUUUUGUGUUUGUUUUAUUGCAAAUGUGGUUCUAUAUGUCAAUCAGAACUAGACAUGUAUUCCAAAAAUUGAUACAGGUAGUCAUAAAGCUUUAUUAAAAUUUAUCACUGGCUGGGCGCGGUGGCUCAAGCCUGUAAUCCCAGCACUUUGGGAGGCCGAGGCGGGUGGAUCAUGAGGUCAACAGAUCGAGACCAUCCUGGUCAACAUGGUGAAACCCCGUCUCUACUAAAGAUACAAAAAAUUAGCUGGGCACGGUGGCGCGUGCCUGUAAUCCCAGCAACUCAGGAGACUGAGGCAGGAGAAUUGCCUGAACCCAGGAGAUGGAGGUUGCAGUGAGCCGAGAUCGUGCCAUUGCACUCCAGCCUGGGUAACAACAGCGAAACUCUGUCUCAAAAAAAAAAAAAUUAUCACUAGAAAUACUUGUUUUUAUUUGGUAAAUGUGACUUGAUUUCACUAUAAAAAAACUAAUAGUCUUUUCAUCUUUGUUAACUAUAGGAGAUUGGUCAGAGUGGUGGGAGAAACUAUAGGGAAAGGAACAGACCCUGGCCGACCGAUGGAUGAAAUGAGUACUCAGACACAGGUAUGCGGUGUAAGAGCAGGUAGGGGACUGCUUGACUCUAGUGGUCAAAGUGUAGCAGCCCAGAAAAGCUGGAGCUGCUUAAUUUUAUUCACUGCAGGCACAAACAGGCCACAAAGGAUGCAGUCAAGUGCAAGGUUAUGACCCUGAUGUCAUAAGAAUAACCUUGAGUAAAAAACAACUAGAAGCUGUCCUGUCCCUAUAUCUAGACCUUCAGAUAGCACUCUCUGAUUAUGCAGGCCAUACAGAACAUGUCCUUCCGGCUGAUACACUACUCCAGUUCUUAGCUCAUAUUCCUGUAGUUAUGCCUAGUUCACUCCCCUAGACCUAACGCUUUAAUGCUUUUUCCUGAUGGCUCUGGUAAAAAUGGAACAGCAGCUAUCUGGUGGGAACUGCAUAGCUCUCUGUUGAUCUGAAUUUACUAGCACUCAGAGAGCUGAAGUGGGAGCCCUAAUAUUGACUCUGAAAACCUUUCCGCUCCCCAUCAAUACUGUUAGUGACUCUGCUUACUCCAUUUUUUUAUUGCAAAAGCUUGAAACAGCUUUCAUUAAGUUCACCCUUAAAUCCAGCCUAUGUGCCCUUUAACUUCAGCAACUGCUGAUCAACAUAUACAUCCUAUUUUUAUUACACACAUUUUGGCCCACAGCUUGUUGCCUGGUCCACUGGUGUAUGGCAGUGAUCAAACAGACCUACAGGUUAUGACGUCACUGCUUGACCACGCCACCCAGUCACAUCCAUUUUCCACCAAAUUUGGAGGUGCUUAACUAAACACUUUCAACUUACCCAAAGACUAGCUAAACCAAUUAUCCUGCAAUGUCCAGACUGCCGCCUCACAGGCACAUCCCCUCCUUCAACACGUGUUAACCCUAGAGAACCAGCAACUAAUAAGUUGUGGCAAACCGAUGUCACACACAUCCCUGAAUUUGGAAAACUAAGAUAUGUACGUGUAUCCGAUGAUAUCUAUUCCCUCCUAACUAGCACACAGGCUCUUCCUGGAAAGUAAGCCCAAUAUGUUAUUAAACGUCAUCUCUUAACUUUUGCAUUUAUGGGGCAGCCCACAAAGAUUAAA
Callithrix jacchus (white-tufted-ear marmoset) is the source of this 2246-nucleotide long non-coding RNA. RefSeq lists it as uncharacterized. NCBI's taxonomy places the organism in Eukaryota, Metazoa, Chordata, Mammalia, Primates, Cebidae. The record is from RefSeq and is a predicted model, not a curated record.